UACGUAGGGUCCGAGCGUUGUCCGGAAUUACUGGGCGUAAAGAGCUCGUAGGUGGUUUGUCGCGUUGUUCGUGAAAACUCACAGCUUAACUGUGGGCGUGCGGGCGAUACGGGCAGACUUGAGUACUGCAGGGGAGACUGGAAUUCCUGGUGUAGCGGUGGAAUGCGCAGAUAUCAGGAAGAACACCCGUGGCGAAAGCGGCUCUCUGGAACGGUACUGACGCUGAGACGCGAAAGCGUGGGGAGCGAACAGG
Molecule: ribosomal RNA, 253 nt
Filed under: uncultured bacterium
Lineage: Bacteria
Description: partial 16S ribosomal RNA
Rfam family: Bacterial small subunit ribosomal RNA
Source: RNAcentral